CGGCUAGAAGGAACGCUGGCGGCGUGCCUAACACAUGCAAGUCGAACGGUAACAGGUCUUCGGAUGCUGACGAGUGGCGCACGGGUGAGUAACGCGUGGAUAUCUGCCUAUGAGUGGGGGACAACUUUCGGAAACGAAAGCUAAUACCGCAUAAUCUCUACGGAGCAAAGCAGGGGACCUUUCGGGGCCUUGUGCUUAUAGAUGAGUCCGCGUCAGAUUAGCUAGUUGGUGGGGUAAGAGCCUACCAAGGCGAUGAUCUGUAGCUGGUUUGAGAGGAUGAUCAGUCACACUGGAACUGAGACACGGUCCAGACUCCUACGGGAGGCAGCAGUGGGGAAUUUUGCACAAUGGGCGCAAGCCUGAUGCAGCGAUGCCGCGUGUGGGAAGAAGGCCUUUGGGUUGUAAACCACUUUCAAUUGGGAAGAAGGGAUGAGWAUUAAUAAUACUCUGACUUGACGGUACCUUUAGAAGAAGCACCGGCUAAUUUCGUGCCAGCAGCCGCGGUAAUACGAAAGGUGCAAGCGUUGUUCGGAUUUACUGGGCGUAAAGAGAUCGUAGGUGGUUUGUUAAGGUUAGAAUGUGAAAAUCCCGGGGGCUCAACCUCGGAACUGCAUCYAAAACUGGCAGACUUGAGUUCGGGAGGGGUAAGCGGAAAUUCCGUGUGUAGCAGUGAAAUGCGUAGAUAUACGGAGGAACACCUGAGGCGAAGGCGGCUUACUGGACCGAUACUGACACUGAGGAUCGAAAGCGUGGGUAGCAAACAGGAUUAGAUACCCUGGUAGUCCACGCCCUAAACGAUGUCAACUAGCCGUUGCGGGUAUCGACCCCUGCAGUGGCGCAGCUAACGCGAUAAGUUGACCGCCUGGGGAGUACGGUCGCAAGAUGACA
Molecule: ribosomal RNA, 888 nt
Filed under: uncultured Zetaproteobacteria bacterium
Lineage: Bacteria; Pseudomonadati; Pseudomonadota; Candidatius Mariprofundia
Description: bacterial SSU rRNA
Rfam family: Bacterial small subunit ribosomal RNA
Source: RNAcentral